GCAACGAUGAAGAACGCAGCGAAAUGCGAUACGUAGUGUGAAUUGCAGAAUUCCGCGAAUCAUCGAGUCUUUGAACGCAAGUUGCGCCCGAGGCUCGUCCGAGGGCAUUUCCGCUAGAGCGUC
This 123-nucleotide ribosomal RNA is filed under the name Epipterygium oreophilum. RNAcentral describes it as "Epipterygium sp. HS-2020c partial 5.8S ribosomal RNA". It matches the Rfam family "5.8S ribosomal RNA", at positions 30 to 154 of the family's 154-position model. Rfam says of the family: 5.8S ribosomal RNA (5.8S rRNA) is a component of the large subunit of the eukaryotic ribosome. The record is from RNAcentral. Lineage: Eukaryota; Viridiplantae; Streptophyta; Bryopsida; Bryales; Mniaceae.